GACGAACGCUGGCGGCGUGCUUAACACAUGCAAGUCGAACGGAAAGGCCCUGCUUUUGUGGGGUGCUCGAGUGGCGAACGGGUGAGUAACACGUGAGUAACCUGCCCUUGACUUUGGGAUAACUUCAGGAAACUGGGGCUAAUACCGGAUAGGAGCUCCUGCUGCAUGGUGGGGGUUGGAAAGUUUCGGCGGUUGGGGAUGGACUCGCGGCUUAUCAGCUUGUUGGUGGGGUAGUGGCUUACCAAGGCUUUGACGGGUAGCCGGCCUGAGAGGGUGACCGGCCACAUUGGGACUGAGAUACGGCCCAGACUCCUACGGGAGGCAGCAGUGGGGAAUAUUGCACAAUGGGCGGAAGCCUGAUGCAGCAACGCCGCGUGCGGGAUGACGGCCUUCGGGUUGUAAACCGCUUUCGCCUGUGACGAAGCGUGAGUGACGGUAAUGGGUAAAGAAGCACCGGCUAACUACGUGCCAGCAGCCGCGGUGAUACGUAGGGUGCGAGCGUUGUCCGGAUUUAUUGGGCGUAAAGGGCUCGUAGGUGGUUGAUCGCGUCGGAAGUGUAAUCUGGGGGCUUAACCCUGAGCGUGCUUUCGAUACGGGUUGACUUGAGGAAGGUAGGGGAGAAUGGAAUUCCUGGUGGAGCGGUGGAAUGCGCAGAUAUCAGGAGGAACACCAGUGGCGAAGGCGGUCUUCUGGGCCUUUCCUGACGCUGAGGAGCGAAAGCGUGGGGAGCGAACAGGCUUAGAUACCCUGGUAGUCCACGCUGUAAACGGUGGGUACUAGGUGUGGGGUCCAUUCCACGGGUUCCGUGCCGUAGCUAACGCUUUAAGUACCCCGCCUGGGGAGUACGGCCGCAAGGCUAAAACUCAAAGGAAUUGACGGGGCCCCGCACAAGCGGCGGAGCAUGCGGAUUAAUUCGAUGCAACGCGUAGAACCUUACCUGGGUUUGACAUGGAUCGGGAGUGCUCAGAGAUGGGUGUGCCUCUUUUGGGGUCGGUUCACAGGUGGUGCAUGCCUGUCGUCAGCUCGUGUCGUGAGAUGUUGGGUUAAGUCCCGCAACGAGCGCAACCCUUGUUCACUGUUGCCAGCACGUUAUGGUGGGGACUCAGUGGAGACCGCCGGGGUCAACUCGGAGGAAGGUGGGGAUGACGUCAAGUCCUCAUGCCCCUUAUGUCCAGGGCUUCACGCAUGCUACAAUGGCUGGUACAGAGAGUGGCGAGCCUGUGAGGGUGAGCGAAUCUCGGAAAGCCGGUUUCAGUUCGGAUUGGGGUCUGCAACUCGACCUCAUGAAGUCGGAGUCGCUAGUAAUCGCAGAUCAGCAACGCUGCGGUGAAUACGUUCCCGGGGCU
This 1346-nucleotide ribosomal RNA is filed under the name uncultured bacterium. Its description in RNAcentral is "bacterial SSU rRNA". It matches the Rfam family "Bacterial small subunit ribosomal RNA", at positions 28 to 1381 of the family's 1533-position model. The record is from RNAcentral.